GAUGAACGCUAGCGGCAGGCUUAACACAUGCAAGUCGAACGGUAACAUAGUGCUUGCACUGAUGACGAGUGGCGAACGGGUGCGUAACGCGUAUGCAACCUACCUAUCACAUAGGGAUAGCCUCUAGAAAUGGAGAUUAAUACCUAAUGGCAUCUAAGUAUUGCAUGAUACUAAGAUUAAAGAUUUAUCGGUGAUAGAUGGGCAUGCGUGACAUUAGCUAGUUGGUAAGGUAACGGCUUACCAAGGCAACGAUGUCUAGGGGAUCUGAGAGGACUACCCCCCACACUGGUACUGAGACACGGACCAG
Molecule: ribosomal RNA, 307 nt
Filed under: uncultured bacterium
Lineage: Bacteria
Description: bacterial SSU rRNA
Rfam family: Bacterial small subunit ribosomal RNA
Source: RNAcentral